Molecule: RNA transcript, 1300 nt
Organism: Cyanidioschyzon merolae strain 10D
Lineage: Eukaryota; Rhodophyta; Bangiophyceae; Cyanidiales; Cyanidiaceae
Exons: 1
Source: RefSeq, a predicted model, not a curated record
GUUGCUGAGUAACACUUUCAUUACACUGUAGGUAUAAAGCUGCCUCUAUCCUAGUCUCAUGCCCUGGUCAGGCUGUGGUAUGGUAAAGACGGCAGCGCAACGCGGAUCGGCAUAGGACGGGUACCUAAUGGAGCUCGGACGCUUGCAAUCGUCGUGUGUGCGAGACCGAAAGCGCGCUGCAUGGGUCCCAAGUGCAAGCUGCUGACCGUGCUUUAUUGAAAAGCGUUGUUGGGAUUUCCCAUUUCGUUCUUGUGUCCCUACGUGAACGGAUUGUGCAUCAGACGUUGAGGGUCAGCGCAUUGCAGACAAUGCAAACCGACCGCUAGCACAUUUGCAUCAGUACAGAUUUUUCGUGCUUGCAGCCAGGCAAUUCGUUCGGUGCAUCCACGAGAGGGCCGAAACACUCCCCCAAAGUCACGUUUCCUAUCAACUCUUACAACAAAAGCAGCGCACAGCUGGCGCGAGAUAAAGCCGUCUCUCAAGUUCGUCACUCCGGGGGCGCGCACACGCGUACCUCUUGCGCACCGAUACGAUAACAGCGAUGCUAAGGCGAAAGCGUCCCAUAUACAUUCGGGAUCCGUAGUGAGCUCGACAACUCGGUGGUAACUGCGUGGAUCAAGCCUUUCUUUCCUGACGGACUACUACCCUGACGCUGAGGCGUGGAAAUUCCCGCGAAAGGCAUCAGGCAAAGCACGCUGAGGAUCGCAGUCUAGCGGCCUGCUCGAGUCGCGAGUCCGGGAGCUUCCAGCUCGAUGUAACCGGGCGAGACGAUAUAGAGUGUGUCCGCACGAGCGCGAACGGGCGUCGCGACCUCAGCACCCAAACCUCAUGACAACAAAAACCACAAGCAAUUGCGGGUUCCGGCAAAACUGAUCAAUGGUUCUUUUAGCCACGUUACGUCGUCGAGUCUGGCCAAAUGACCCCGCGAAUUAUCUUCAGACUAGACAGGUCCUGGUUGUUUGGUCAAAGUGCGUGGCGCGAAGCUCCCCAUAGCUGCUUGCAGUUGGUGCUUCUGGUGACGCCGUGCAGGGCGAACGCUUUCGCAACCAAGGCCAGUACCGACCAACACUUCACAUUGUAAAUCGGUACCAGUAUACUGAGACCUGAGCGGUUUGGUCUGCCGGGGUAUCGGUAAUAUACCUCACCCGCCGAUGAGUGCCAUUGCGUAACAACGCAGCAGCGUACACGGUCUUGGUUUGUGUACAAAAGCCUGUGGACUGUCCGCUGGCUGCGCCAAGAAGAACGCUUGUCUUUGCGCUACAUCCGGGUCAGAUGAAAAAGGAACAGUAAACAGUUCGUU